This 596-nucleotide small RNA is filed under the name Pongo abelii (Sumatran orangutan). Its description in RNAcentral is "retained intron". Lineage: Eukaryota; Metazoa; Chordata; Mammalia; Primates; Hominidae. The record is from RNAcentral.
AUCCCUCUUGUCACCUCUGAAGCUGGGGCUGUAUCUUUCUAUCCCAGAUGCUCCACAGAACCUCGCCAUCAGCAUCUUCUUCAGAAAUGGCACAGGCACAGCCCUGCGGAUCCUGAGCAAUGGCAUGUCGGUGCCCAUCCUGGAGGGCCAGUCCCUGUUCCUCGCCUGCACAGUUGACAGCAAUCCCCCUGCCUCACUGAGCUGGUUCCGGGAGGGAAAAGCCCUCAAUCCUUCCCAGACCUCAGUGUCUGGGAUCCUGGAGCUGCCCAACAUAGGAGCUACAGAGGGAGGGGAAUUCACCUGCCAGGUUCAGCACCCACUGGGCUCCCAGCACCUGUCCUUCAUCCUUUCUGUGCAGAGAAGCUCCUCUUCCUGCAUAUGUGUAACUGAGAAACAGCAGGGCUCCUGGCCCCUUGUCCUCACCCUGAUCAGGGGGGCUCUCAUGGGGGCUGGCUUCCUCCUCACCUACGGCCUCACCUGGAUCUACUAUACCAGGUGUGGAGGCCCCCAGCGGAGCAGGGCUGAGAGGCCUGGCUGAGCCCCUCCUGCUCAAGACAGAACUGAGUAGAGAUGGGGUUUUACCAUGUUGGCCAGGU